RNAcentral lists this ribosomal RNA (576 nucleotides) under Liangdongia berthetii. RNAcentral's name for it is "eukaryotic LSU rRNA". It matches the Rfam family "Eukaryotic large subunit ribosomal RNA", at positions 62 to 648 of the family's 3401-position model. Lineage: Eukaryota; Fungi; Ascomycota; Saccharomycetes; Phaffomycetales; Wickerhamomycetaceae. The record is from RNAcentral.
AAACCAACAGGGAUUGCCUCAGUAACGGCGAGUGAAGCGGCAAGAGCUCAAAUUUGAAAUCUGGUAGUUUUUACUGCCCGAGUUGUAAUUUGAAGAGUCCAACCUUGGGUUGCAGCACUGUCUAUGUUUCUUGGAACAGGACGUCACAGAGGGUGAGAAUCCCGUGAGGUGGUGCGAUUUGCUUCUCUUGUAGGUUGUUCUCGACGAGUCGAGUUGUUUGGGAAUGCAGCUCUAAGUGGGUGGUAAAUUCCAUCUAAAGCUAAAUAUUGGCGAGAGACCGAUAGCGAACAAGUACAGUGAUGGAAAGAUGAAAAGAACUUUGAAAAGAGAGUGAAAAAGUACGUGAAAUUGUUGAAAGGGAAGGGCAUUAGAUUAGACUUGGCGCUUCAGGCACAUCCUCCUCUUGUAGGGGGUGCACUCCUGUUGUGCUGGGCCAGCAUCGAUUUGUGCGGUGGGAUAAAACCUUUGGGAAGUAGCUACACUUGUGUAGUGUUAUAAACAAAGGGCAUGCCACCAGCGUAGAUCGAGGACUGCGUCAUUUUUGACUAGGAUGCUGGCGUAAUGAUCUAAUGCCGC